Molecule: ribosomal RNA, 207 nt
Filed under: uncultured bacterium
Lineage: Bacteria
Description: partial 16S ribosomal RNA
Rfam family: Bacterial small subunit ribosomal RNA
Source: RNAcentral
CGUGUAGGCGGCCAGAUAGGUCUGCUGUGAAAACUCGAGGCUCAACCUCGAGACGUCGGCGGAAACCAUCUGGCUAGAGUCCGGAAGAGGAGAAUGGAAUUCCCGGUGUAGCGGUGAAAUGCGCAGAUAUCGGGAAGAACACCCGUGGCGAAGGCGGUUCUCUGGGACGGUACUGACGCUGAGACGCGAAAGCGUGGGGAGCGAACA